CGUCUAGUGGAUGGCUCGGCUUGGGCGCCGAAGAAGGGCGUGGCAAGCUGCGAUAAGCCCCGGGGAGGCGCAUGCAGCCUUAGAUCCGGGGAUUCCCGAAUAGGACCUCCAGCCAUGAACUAACAGUUCAUGGCGCUCCCACCUCAUUAGAGGGGGAGUGGGAACCCCCCGAACGGAAACAUCCAAGUAGGGGGAGGAAGAGAAACCAUCAUGGGAUUCCCUGAGUACCGGCGAGGGAAAGGGGAGAAGCUCAAACCGAACCCAUAGGGCUGACAAACCCUACGGGGAUGUGGAGUAGAGGUUCAGCCGAAUACACCCACCGUCUGGAGAAGUCGAAGUGGCCUGGAACGGCCCACCAUAGAGGGUGAUAGUCCCGUAGAUGUAAUCCAGACUAGUGGGUUGGCUGAACCGGAGUACCACACCUUGAUAUUGGUGUGGGAAUCUGGGUGGAAUCAGCAUCCAAAGCUAAAUACGUCCCAAGACCGAUAGCGUACUAGUACGGUGACGGAAAGCUGAAAAGCACCCCGGGAGGGGGGUGAAAAGAGCCUGAAACUAGACGGCGAUAUCCGUGCGGGGCCUGAAAGGGUGGAUCCAUCUCGAAGGAAGCCGCGGUGACGCGGUUGUACGAGAGGUGGGGACCAGGGUCCCGCGUUCCGUUUCGAACCACGGGCCGGGGAGUUCACCUCCACGGCGAGCUUAAGAGCUUCAUAAGCUCGUAGGCGUAGGGAAACCGACUCAUCCGCAGUCGAGUUCUCCACUCGACGAGGGAUGGGGGUCUGAAAGGGCCUUUAGUCGUGGGGGUGAUAACCAGAAACCGGGCGAUCUAGCCCUGGGCAGGACGAAGCCAGGCGAAAGCCUGGUGGAGGUCCGAAGGGGUGUUGACGUGCAAUUCACUCCUCUGACCUGGGGCUAGGGGCCAAAAGCCAAUCUAGCCCGGUGAUAGCUGGUUCCUCCCGAAAUGGGUCGCAGCCCAUCCUCAGGCGAGGUUGCCCAGGGGGUAGAGCACCGAUAGAAUGGCAAGGGUCCGAAAGGGCCCACCAUUCUUUCGAACUCCGAAUCCCUGGGCUCCGAAGACCCUGGGAGGCGGGUCUCAGGGGGUAAGCCCCUGAACCAAGAGGGGAACAACCCGGACGAGGGUUAAGGCCCCUAAAUGCUGGCUAAGUGUUAACGCGAAUGGAGUCCUUAGCCUGAGACAGCUGGGAGGUAGGCUUAGAAGCAGCCAUCCUCUAAGCAACGCGUAACAGCGGACCAGCCGAGGCUAAGGGCCCAGAAAAUGGACGGGGCUAAGCCAGCUGCCGAUACCCUCGGGGCCAGUGUACACGCACUGGCUUGGUAGGGAGGCGUCGCAAUCGGGUAGAAGCCGAGCCGUGAGGUUCGGUGGACCGAUUGCGAGUGCAGAUCCCGGUGGUAGUAGCAGCAAAGAGGGGUGAGAAUCCCCUCCGCCGCAGGGGCCAGGGUUCUCCGGCAAUGUUCGUCAGCCGGAGGUUAGUCGGUCCUAAGGCAGCCCUUAACCGGUCGCUGCCGAAAGGGAAACCGGUUUACAUUCCGGUACCGCAGAGGUACGUGCGGUGACGCAAGCCUCCAAUCCGACACCUCCGGGUAGGCUGAGUAGAGUUGCCGCUCUACUUAACUGUCGAAGCCUGGGGAGUGCCGUAAAGGCGAGAACCAGGUGAAGACAGGAAUAGCCUCUCGAAAGAGGGGUUCAGCUGAUCCCGGGGGGCAAGGAAAAGGGUUGGAGGAAGGAUCCUCUGCGACCGUACCUAGAACCGACACAGGUGCCCCUGGGUGAGAAGCCUAAGGCGUGUCGGGUCAACGCGGGUGAGGGAAUUCGGCAAAUUAGCCCCGUAACUUCGGGAUAAGGGGUGCCUACGGUUUUAGCCUCAAGGCUGGAACCGUAGGUCGCAGUGACAAGGAGGCCCCGACUGUUUAAUAAAAACAUAGGUAGCCGCAAGCCCGAAAGGGUGUGUACGGCUGCUGAAUCCUGGCCAGUGGCGGUACCUAAAACCCAGGUUCAACUGGGCUAAGGGCCGCUAAACGCCGGGAGUAACUCUGACUCUCUCAAGGUAGCCAAAUGCCUUGUCGGAUGAUAUCCGACGUGCAUGAAUGGAUCAACGAGGGCCUCGCUGUCCCCACCCGGGACCCGGCGAACCUACCUGGUGGUGAAAAGUCCACCAUCCCCCAGCGGGGCGAGAAGUCCCUGUGGAGCUUUACUGCAGCCUGUUGUUGGGAUAUGGUUGUGGAUGCGUAGGGUAGGUGGGAGCCGUUGAAUCGGCUCUUCCGGGAGCUGAGGAGGCGCCGAUGAAACACCACUCUUCCGCGACCGUAUCCCUAACCUAGGUGCCAAACCUGGGGACAGCAGCAGGUGGGCAGUUCGCCUGGGAUGGCGCCCCCUUGAAAAGAUAUCGAGGGGGCCCUAAGGCCAGCUCAGGUAGGUCAGAAACCUACCGUAGAGGGCAAGGCCAAAAGCUGGCCUGACUGGAUCCUUCAAAGCAAGGGAUCCAGGGGUGAAAGCCGGGCCUAGCGAUCCUCCAUGUCCCUACUGGUGGGGGCUGGAGGUGACAGAAAAGUUACCCCAGGAAUAAUUGGCUUGUCGCGGGCGAGAGUUCACAUCGACCUCGCGGCUUGGUACGCCGUCGUCGUCCCUUCCCAUCCUGGCGGUGCAUAAGCCGCCAAGGGUGAGUCUGCUCGCCUAUUAAAGGGGAAUGCGAGAUGGGUUUAGACCGUCGUGAGACAGGUCGGACUCUACCUGCUGGGGGUGCUGGCCGCCUGAGGGGAUCACGUCCCCAGUACGAAAGGAACGGGGCGUGGCGGCCUCUGGUGAACCAGCUGUCCGGUAGGGCAAGCUGGGCAGCUACGCCGCCGGGGAUAAGGGCUGAAGGCAUCUAAGCCCGAAGCCCCUCCCGAAAAUAGGCGGCCAAUCCUAGACGCAGAAACCUGG
RNAcentral lists this ribosomal RNA (2938 nucleotides) under Candidatus Bathyarchaeota archaeon. RNAcentral's name for it is "23S ribosomal RNA". It matches the Rfam family "Archaeal large subunit ribosomal RNA". The record is from RNAcentral. Lineage: Archaea; Thermoproteati; Candidatus Bathyarchaeota.